RNAcentral lists this ribosomal RNA (497 nucleotides) under uncultured bacterium. Its description in RNAcentral is "partial 16S ribosomal RNA". It matches the Rfam family "Bacterial small subunit ribosomal RNA", at positions 28 to 507 of the family's 1533-position model. The record is from RNAcentral.
GAUGAACGCUGGCGGCGUGCCUAAUACAUGCAAGUCGAGCGAACAGACGAGGAGCUUGCUCCUCUGACGUGAGCGGCGGACGGGUGAGUAACACGUGGAUAACAUACCUAUAAGACUGGGAUAACUUCGGGAAACCGGAGCUAAUAACGGAUAAUAGAUUGAACCGUAUUGUUCAAUAGUGAAAGACGGUUUUGCUGUCACUUAUAGAUGGAUCCGCGCCGCAUUAGCUAGUUGUUAAGGUAACGGCCUACCAAGGCAACGCUGCGUAGCCGACCUGAGAGGCUGCUCGACCACCCUGCAACUGAGACACGGUCCCGACUCCUGCAGCAGGAAGCUGUACGCAAUCUUCCGCAAUGGGCGAAGCCCUGACGGAGCCACCCCGCCCGAGUGAUGCAGGCCUCCGGAUCGUAACACUCUGUUAUUAGGGAAGAACAAAUGUGUAAGUAACUAUGCUCGUAUUGACGGUAACUGCUCAGAAAGCCACGGCUAACUACGUG